GGACUGAGUGGCGGACGGGUGAGUAACGCGUGGGUAACCUGCCUUAUACAGGGGGAUAACAGUUGGAAACGACUGCUAAUACCGCAUAAGCGCACGGUAUCGCAUGAUACAGUGUGAAAAACUCCGGUGGUAUAAGAUGGACCCGCGUCUGAUUAGCUUGUUGGUGAGGUAACGGCUCACCAAGGCGACGGUCAGUAGCCGGCCUGAGAGGGUGAACGGCCACAUUGGGACUGAGACACGGCCCAGACUCC
This 251-nucleotide ribosomal RNA is filed under the name uncultured Eubacteriales bacterium. Its description in RNAcentral is "uncultured Clostridiales bacterium partial 16S ribosomal RNA". It matches the Rfam family "Bacterial small subunit ribosomal RNA", at positions 88 to 339 of the family's 1533-position model. The record is from RNAcentral. Lineage: Bacteria; Bacillati; Bacillota; Clostridia; Eubacteriales.